RNAcentral lists this long non-coding RNA (2737 nucleotides) under Macaca mulatta (Rhesus monkey). RNAcentral's name for it is "lncRNA (ENSMMUG00000055966.1)". Lineage: Eukaryota; Metazoa; Chordata; Mammalia; Primates; Cercopithecidae. The record is from RNAcentral.
CAGUCUGGAGUGAGCCAGGGUGGACAUGCUGCGGGGACGGUCUCCCGUCUAUAACUGUCCUCUGUGUCCUCCGGGCACACAGGGAACAGGAUUAAAGGUGCCAGAGAUGUGGGUCCCUACAGCGAUCUUGGACCUGCACAGAACACUGGAUCAUGCAACAAGCAGCCGGCAAAGCUCCAGGGAGGACGGAGUUGGAGUGUGCAGCCCUCGGCAGAACUUUGGAGGCCUGGGCAACACCAAGAACUAGAGAGGCUUGCAGCGCAGUUCUGGGCUCUGUGGCACGUGGCAUGGGAUCUGCAGCAAACUCAGUGAACGGCAGGCAGGACCUGGGCGAGCUGUUGAAAGUUGUCUUUGUUUACGGUCAUUCUCGGAUGCAAAGGCCCCAGAAGACUCUAAUCCUUGUGGAAGGAAAACGCGGCAUGAGGAGUCUAUUGUUGACCUUCCUGAAGUGGUUGCCCUCAAGAAGAAACACGAGGCAUCCUUGCAUCUGGCCGAGGCUCACGGCAUGGGGGCCCGGGCCCUGCAGCCGAGCUGCUGUGGAAUAGCUCAGCCUGGAUCCCGAGGCUGCGGAUGUUACGAUGGGAGCAUCCGCGAAGAGCUCUGGUGCUUCAGGAGGAUGCAUUGAAGGCAAGGAGGAGCGGACGGGCUCUCCGUGGACUCCUGUCAGUGCCACGCACGCCACCCCGCCGUCACCACCUGCAGUGCUGCGAUCCCUCGGUGGAGUGUGUCAUGGAGCGGGAUGGCGCAGCCCAGGUAAAGAGCGUGCGCAGCGGUUAGCGGAAAACACCCGCAUUUCGGAAGAGCCUGGGAGAGAUGCGCUUCCUCACCUGUGGCAACAAGGAUUUUCUGGCGCUCUGCGGGCUGCCGAAAUUGAUGCCUUUGGACCAGCUGCUGGAGCAGAACCUCGGUGUGGUUGGGGUGGGAUCUCCUGCCACCUCAGUGAUUGAGUCCAGAGCCAGGCUCGCCUGCAUGAACUCAUGCCAAAGAAAUAGUGCCUGCUGCUUUAAAGGACAGAUGAAGCUGGGGACCGAUUGCAGCUGGAGCAUUCCUGUCAUCUGUUGGUGCCUCUACUGGAGAGGCCCCUGGACUAGGCUACGCGUGAAGAAAUAGAAGACUGGGUCUUUCUUGCGCUCCCUUAGAGGAACUGUCCCUCACCCAGGACAGUGUGUGGCCUUUCUGAGCCAGUUCAAGGAACUGUGGCCAUCUCACGAAAAAGACAUUUCCUCCGCUACUGAAGGUGGCCCCCUCACUCCGAGCGGCGUUUUGCAAACUGUAAGAAAAGGCUUCACAUCCUUCCUUUGCUAAAUCUCACCUUUAACAAUGAAAGCGACACCCCUUGCUUUUCUGGUUCGUUAAACAGAUGUUUCAUUUUAAAGAAACCCAGAAAUCUAGGAAUGUCACAUCCUUGCAAUUUUAAGAGUCCACUAGUACAGGGUUAUCAAAAAUGCAAGUGGAAAAGCAUGUCGGCCGGCGAGUCAGCAGAUUGUCAUCAUAAAUACAAUGCCCACUGGAUGCCACGCGCCACUUGACCUCCAAACCUCAUAGCAGCACUAUGGGGCAGGAGCUCCUGCUUCCAGUUUAUAAGGGAAGACUUGAGGUCCUGGGGCUUUAAGCAUCUUGUACAGGCAGAUUGGUCUGACUUCAGAGAACCUGCACCAACACACUGAAAGAUGUUGUUUCUGCUCGUUUCUAGUUAGGGCAUGGGCAAGCGUAUGACGGAAGAACACUAUCAGCCUCCACGGGAAAGCACUCCAGGAGCCGAUGUGGGUCCAAAUAUACAGUUCAUAGCUGCUGAACAAAAGCCAGGUGUGAAGCUGAGUCUACACUGGAAGCCCUGGGUCCGCUGAGGCCUCGCCAUCCCAGUGUGGCCCCGCAGCGGCCUCCCCAGGAGCUGGUUAGAGAUGCUGAUCCCUGCCCUGCCCCUGUCCCCCAGCUCAGAACCCUCCCUAAAGAGAUGCCCAGGAGAUCGUGUGCAUGAUGACAUUUGAGAAACUCCACUCUAAGAUACAGUGGCUGAGAUGGAGCCAGCAGGAAGGCUGGGGCAGGCAGAGAUGGACAAGCAGCUGCCUUUGAGUUGCUGUGGCAGCAACAUAGCGGCCAGUGGUUUGGCAAAGAAGGUAACAUCAAGGCUUGGUCAAUGCAGCAGGGGCAAGAGUCCAAGCAGUGCUACCCCAACUUGACAAGAGAGGCAGAGAAACCCAAGAAUUCCAGCUCAUCUGUCUGGACACUCCACAGCCACCAAAGAGCCAGCACUAUCUCCCUGGAUCUGGGCACCUUCCAACCUUGAGAAGACUCAGGACGGCAGAAUGGUGUGCUGUGAGGAAGUCUGGAGGCAGCUAGCCUUGGAGUCUGCUCUGUGGCAGCUGCCCACUUCCUGGACCCAGGCUGGCCACAGGCUCUCCCAGGCAUCCUGCAGUCAGAAGGAGGAAGAGGAGAGAAAAGGGAUAAAGGAGAGAACAAAGCUGUCAACACUCUUGUUGGAGGGACUUGAAUUAACCACUCAGAAUUCUGGCAUGAAUGGAGAGGGCUGCUCCCACAGUAUAACUGCGCCAUGCCUUGCACCAACUCUCUGCAUCCUGAUUUUAGACAGGAGGACACACCAAUUUGAAGAAAUGAUGCUAUUUCCAGGGCUGAGAGCCCUGGAAGAAUCCAGACGGGUCUGUCUGCUGCAUUGUAGAGCUGUAAUGUAAUGUAAUGUAAUGUAAUGUAAUGUAAUGUAAUGUAAUGUAAUGUAAUG